UCAGGAUGAACGCUGGCGACGUGCUUAACACAUGCAAGUCGAACGGAGUGACUUCAAUCUCGGAUUCGUCUGAUUUAGCUGUACACUUAGUGGCGGACGGGUGAGUAACGCGUGGGUAACCUGCCUCAUACAGGGGGAUAGCAGCUGGAAACGGCUGAUAAAACCGCAUAAGCGCACACUACCGCAUGAUAGAGUGUGAAAAAACUCCGGUGGUAUGAGAUGGACCCGCGUCUGAUUAGCUUGUUGGUGAGGUAACGGCCCACCAAGGCGACGAUCAGUAGCCGGCCUGAGAGGGUGAACGGCCACAUUGGGACUGAGACACGGCCCAAACUCCUACGGGAGGCAGCAGUGGGGAAUAUUGCACAAUGGGGGAAACCCUGAUGCAAGCGACGCCGCGUGAAGGAUGACGUAUUUCGGUAUGUAAACUUCUAUCAGCAGGGAAGAACAAGUGACGGUACCUGACUAAGAAGCCCCGGCUAACUACGUGCCAGCAGCGGC
This 498-nucleotide ribosomal RNA is filed under the name uncultured bacterium. RNAcentral's name for it is "bacterial SSU rRNA". It matches the Rfam family "Bacterial small subunit ribosomal RNA", at positions 24 to 518 of the family's 1533-position model. The record is from RNAcentral.